GGUGAUGCGUUCAGAAUAAGAUCAACUAACGUUGGGAUCGAUUGGUCAGGUCUGGGUGACGGAAAUGGAAGUCUACAGACUGGGAUAAGAGAUUGAAGUCCGAAUGUGGAACUUUGUUUUUGUCUGUGAGGAAAUGCUUUAAGGGGAAAUGUAUCUUCGGACCUUUCGUUUGCGUUACCUUUCAUGCGCCAACCAUUAAUGGAAUAGAGAACCAGCGUUAGUAGAUUCCUAUCAGAUCUAAUGACUGAUUUGAUCAGAUGAGCAGCCUCAGUCAGCGCAGUGAACAGACCGACAACAGCAACAGCCUCCAUUCCAGAGCUGCCUCUCCUCAGCCCAAGACUGCUGCACUACAGCAUGUAGACAGCAGUGCUUUCUCCUGGAGCUUUUGCAAAUGAAAAUGGAGGACGUGUCUCUGUCCAGUAUGGACAACAGUAAGAUGGAGGGCUUUGCUCAAGACAUCCUGUCUGAUCUGGUGGAGGAUGCGUGUUUGGGGCUUUGUUUCGAGGUUCACAGGGCUGUCAAACAGGGAUACUUUUUCCUGGAUGAUACAGACCAAGAGAGUAUGAAGGACUUUGAAAUCGUGGACCAGCCUGGAGUAGAUAUUUUCGGUCAAGUGUACAACCAGUGGAAAAACAAAGAGUGUGUGUGUCCCAACUGCAGCCGGAGCAUCGCUGCCUCACGGUUUGCUCCUCACCUAGAGAAAUGCCUUGGCAUGGGCCGCAACAGCAGUCGCAUUGCCAACCGAAGAAUUGCGAGUGGCAACAACACAAACAAAUCCGAGAGUGAUCAAGAGGACAAUGAUGAUGUCAAUGACAAUGACUGGUCUUAUGGGGCAGAAAAGAAAGCCAAGAAGAGAAAGUCAGAUAAGGUAUUUUUACAUUCUUUGAAACAGCCUGUGCCCUUGGUAAGUUUGUUUUUACUAUUACAGAUGUUCUGUUUGCUCUUAGAUGGCCCCACAGAUUUGUAGCCACAGGAUCUGGUGCAAAACUAGUUGUAGAAUUAGUUUAUUAAAGGAUGUAGAAUUUUUAUCCACAAUUCUUGUCAACAAGAAUGUUUUGUUCAAACAUUAGCUUUCUAAUAAGUGACUGUUGCAUAUUAUACAUGCCUUUUCCAUAACCAUGUCUCUUUGUUGGUUUAAUUUUCAUAUCCUGACUGCAGGCUAAUGUUUGUUGUCUCUUUUCUUUCUGCACAGAAUCCAAAUUCACCAAGAAGAUCAAAAUCCAUGAAACAUAAAAAUGACUGAACAGAAGAAACGAACCAGAGAGAAUUUCCACGUCAAAGAAGGCAGAGCCUCAGCGCACACCUACUCUUUAUGCAAUCAUCACGGACUAAUGGUAGUUCGAAGGUGAUUACCAGCUGGAGUAAACCUUUACAGAAAGUUUGCUUUGGCAAGCUGUUUCGAACACCCAAAGCAAACUCCAAAUGAAAA
This is an RNA transcript of Carassius carassius (crucian carp), 1429 nucleotides long. It is a transcript of the gene named ataxin-7-like protein 3, with no coding region annotated. The transcript is spliced from 7 exons. NCBI's taxonomy places the organism in Eukaryota, Metazoa, Chordata, Actinopteri, Cypriniformes, Cyprinidae. The record is from RefSeq and is a predicted model, not a curated record.